GAUCAUGGCUCAGGACGAACGCUGGCGGCGCGCCUAACACAUGCAAGUCGAACGAGAGAUGAGGAGCUUGCUCUUCAAAUCGAGUGGCGAACGGGUGAGUAACGCGUGAGGAACCUGCCGUCAAAGAGGGGGACAAACAGUUGGAGACGACUGCUAAUACCGCAUAAGCCCACGGCUCGGCAUCGAGCAGAGGGAAAAGGAGCAAUCCGCUUUGGGAUGGCCUCGCGUCCGA
This 232-nucleotide ribosomal RNA is filed under the name uncultured bacterium. Its description in RNAcentral is "partial 16S ribosomal RNA". It matches the Rfam family "Bacterial small subunit ribosomal RNA", at positions 15 to 240 of the family's 1533-position model. The record is from RNAcentral.